RNAcentral lists this long non-coding RNA (8971 nucleotides) under Equus caballus (horse). Its description in RNAcentral is "lncRNA (ENSECAG00000058014.1)". Lineage: Eukaryota; Metazoa; Chordata; Mammalia; Perissodactyla; Equidae. The record is from RNAcentral.
GGGACCCCAUCACUGUGACCCCUCCCUGGGACCCUCACGCACAGCCUGGUAUCGGGGGACUGGGUCUCCACGGUGGAGUCGGAAGUCCCUCUCCAGGAGCGCCAAUCUACACCCCACCCGACACGGCCUUGACGUCCGAGAACCCCUUGUUCUUGCUGCAGCGCUGCACCCACAGUUCCCAAACCUCACGACACCCACAACUCGCUGGGGUGAAUUCUGGAAACAGGGCGAGUUGGGCACGGUGUCCAAUUCCACUGCUCCAAAACACCCCUAAGACAACGGCCAGGGCUCCUUUAAGGGUUUAGUCCAUGAGGAGAAGAGACUAGGAAGAAGACGGUGGACACAGGAGGAGGAGAAACUUCUGGAAGAUGGAAGCUGAUCAACUCUCCAUCCAGACAGGUGAUUUGUGGGCCGUCCGGUUAGGAAGCAAGAGGGCUCGAGCAGGAAGGACAUUCGCAGGUCCCGGGCUCCCUGACGCACGAAGCUUGCCCCAUCACAGGAACGGCAUGAUCUGUGAGGACUGGGGAUCCUGGGGACCCGCUCCUGCUCACAGAGUGACACCACGUUCCUGCAGGGCUCCCGAGCUCACGCAGCGCUUCUAAGCAAUCAUCAUAUUUUGUCACCUGUGCAGCCCGGAUACAGCAGGAUGGGCCCAAAUUACAGCGGCCGGCACAGAGAGAAGCCGAGUGAUUCCAUGAGAUUACAUGGCUGAUGAGUGACAGGGCCAGAGCUCAAACUCAGACCUUCCGCCUCCAAGUCGAGUUGCCAUCCCACCCGGGCGUGGUCUGGAACCCUCUGCGGCCUGGGUAGCUGUGGGUGAUGGCAGCCCCCUGGAGUGACACAGGCAUUGGCAGCCUGGCCAUUGAGGUGGCUUCUGAGUCCACAGGGAGACACAGCCCUGCAAGUCAGGCUUUUUCAAGAGAGAAGGAGAUCCCCAGGUUCCAAAAGCCACCUUUGUGCUUCAGGAGGCCUGUCUGGGGCCACAGGUCCUGCCGUCACCAUCAGGGGAGCUCAGACAUGCCUGUGGAGGGCCCCGACCAGGGGGACCAGCCUCCAGGGCAGCCGCCAGGGACAGGAGAGCUGUCACAGCAGGGACCUCCAGUGAGCUCAGGACCCCAGCCCACACUGGCUAAACCUGGUGACGUGGUGGCUGAAAACGCCAAGGUGUGCAGAGGCAAGGAACAAGAGGAGAGGCUCGUGCCAGUCAGGGGCUGUGUCCCCUAGAUGCAUAUGUCGACAUCCUGACCCCCUCAGGAUGCGACUGUAUUUGGAGACUGGGCCUUUAAAGAGGUGGUCAAGGUAAAACGAGGCCCUUAGGGUGGGCCCUGAUCCAGUGUGACUGGUGCCCUCAUGAGAGAGGAGAUGAGGACACACACACGCACAGAGGUAAUACCAUGUGAGGACACAGGGGGAAGAUGACAGUGUCCACACCCCAAGGAGAGAGGCAUCAGGAGGAACCAGCCCUGCUAACACCUUAAUCUCCAACUUCCAGCCUCCAGGAUGGAGGAAGAACAUGUUUCUGUUGUUUAAGCCCCUGGUCUGUGGUAUUUGACUGACUGACACUGGAACCUGGGAGAAGGCCACACCCAGAGACCCUCCCAGGUUACCAGGAGCCUCGAUAGAAGCAGAGAAAUGAGGCCAUGGCCUGUGCAAGCCAAGAGAGCUGGGGAUACCUUCCUUGGUCCCCACCCCACUCCCAGGUGGUAAGGAAGGGAUCCAUCAGGAAGGUCUGCCCUCUGGGGAGAGCGAGCGGGAUGCCUGGGGGCUGCAGUAGGGGUGGGAGGCUGUGCAGGGCUGGGGAGCGGGCAGGUGGAGGCCGAGCCUCCGAGGGCCCUGAGGCCAGGGGUGAGGGUCGGGGGAUAGCUCAGGGCCCCCACGCCAUCAAGGGGUCAUCAGCCAUGGGCUCCAGCAGUAGAAGGCCCACGACUCCCAGGACAGCAGCGCGGAACGUGCCGGGGCCUGACCGUCCUCCCCUGUCCACCUGAGGGCGUAUAAAGUUCCCCAUGCUCGCGUCUCCCGGCCACUUGCCUGGGAAGGCAGAGGCUUGUCUGGGUCUGCUGAGAGGGGUGGGCGCCUAGAACUACGCUUGGCACACAGCAGGCCCUCAGGAAACAGCUGUUCAAUGAAUGAAUGGGUGGAGGAGAAAUCCUGAAAACUGCGUUUACACAGUCAGUCUCCUGUGAGAGGCCGCAUCACCCCCAGUUGGCGGGUUCGCCCCACCAGCCUUGGCGGGGGCAUGAGAACGAGACAGGGGUCAUUUCGUCCUGAAGCUGGGGAGGGGAGCCUGCCCAUAAGUGGCAAGGGCAUUCCAUCCAGGUCCUGGGCAUGGGGAGAGGCUCACAUGGCCCUUGGGCUCCGUUUGUCACAGCCUGGGAUGCUGGCUUUCCUGGCACUGAGAGAGUGACUGCCUGAAGCGGUGGGCGCUGGGGAGGCUGUCGGUGGGAAGGGGGCUGGUGUGGUGCCCAGGAUGUCACUGCUAUUAGAACAGGUCAGUGUAGACCCCCUCUGCCCACCCGCGGGUCCCUCCAGACCAUCCUGGGGACUGUACAUAUACAGGACUCUAGGACACCUGGUGUGGACCCACCACGUUCGGUUUGGACUCAGUGAGCUGGGAACAUGGACGCGUGUUGGCUGCUGCCUCGUGGCACCCUGGGGCACCCGUGGAGCACCUACUGAGGCUGGAUAGGUCCCCACCCCGAGUUUGGAGUCCUCGUCUGUAAAUCGGGGCAAGCAAGCCCCCUGGGGGGGUUGUGAGGUGCACCACGAAGGUGUCAGCAGAGCCCUCACCCAGCACGGGGCUGAGCCAGUGUCUGUCUCCCUGGAAUUGCGGGACUGCGUGAGGACCCGUCCGGGCCUGGGACCCAGCUCUCCUGGCUGCCGUCCUCCCUGCAUAGGACUUACACGAGGGGGUCUCACAAAGCUGAGCGCAUGGAACUCCCAUUCUGUGAAGAGAGAAGUUCUGAAAAGCCUUUCUGCUAACAAAUGCCUAGACAUUUGUUUAAAAUGAUGCAAACAUUUUUCAGUGUUCUGCUGAGGUCCGAACAAAGUGAGGGAAGUUCCCGGAGUGGAGCAAGAGAAGCUGAAGGCCAGAGGGCGGAGCGGGAGCUGCCCGGUGCCUGCACCUGCUGUCCCCAGGCUGAGCCAGGGCGCUGGGGACACAGACAGAACACAGGCCGCUGCCCUGAAUGACAGGCCAGGCUGUGAAGCCAGGAUGGACGGGACGUUCUGCAAACAGCUGCCUAAGACUCCCCAAAGUGUUGACGCCGGAAAAGGCAGCCAGACAACGUCUGAGGCACCGUCAGAAGAAGAAAGGGAGCUAGGAGACAUGAAAAGUAAAUGUCGCUUGAUCGAACCUUUGAUUUCAAUUAGAACUGUAAAGGCAAUUAUUGAGAUGAUUGCACAACUUCAGAUAUGGCUGUGUAGCAAUUGUGGGGUAGAACGUAAAAUUUCUGGCACGUGAUCACUUUAAUGUGGUUUUGUAAGAGUUUGUCUUAGGAGAUGCGUAUUAAAGUAUUUAGAAGUGUCACAAUGUCUGCAUCGCACUCUCAGAUGGUUUAGCCAAUAAAAAAAUACACAUGUGUAAAUAAACACACACACACUAGAGAGAGAAGGAGAGAGAUGAGACCCACAUGGCAAGGCAGGAAAUGUUAGCUAAUCUGGGUGAAGCUUAUAAAAAGGUUCACUCCACUGUUUUGCAAAUUUCCUGUAGCUUUGCCAAUUUAAAACGGGACGAAUGGGAAGGAAGAAAGCCUUCGUGAGCAGAGAGGGAGAACUGGAAGACGCAGAAGGCCACCAGGAGCCUGGGAACCACGGGGUGAGUCUUAAUAAGAUUUGACUGUAAAAAGCAAGGAUUAAAAUGACUAAAUUUUAGAGUAGGCUUAUGAACAAAAUAGAACUAAAAUGUCAGACAAAAAUAACCUGGGAGAAGGGCAAGGGCCGUCCAGGUGAACGCAUUCCGAGCCCCCGUGUUGUUGGGAGGAGGAGACGUCCCCGUCGAUGUGCUCACCAGGCAGGCCCGUGAACACGUAGGGAGCUCCCACCAGAACAGAAGGUGAUGGGUAAGUUCCGAAGUGCCGGAGGGGGCGCAAAGAAUAGAGAAAACUUGAUCGAUCCAAUAGAAAAUGGUGAAGGAGGAAAAACAACAUGAUAAAUAACACAAGAUAAGAUUGUAGAGAGAAAUCCCAAGUCACCCAUUAUUGCGAUAAAUGUAACUGAAUUUAAUUAUCGGUUAAAAUAGAAUCUCAGAUUGGAGUAAAAAGAACAGACACAGUGUAUAAGAACGUGUCUAAAAUAAAAUGACUUGAAAAAGGAAAGCAAAGCGAUGCAAAAGUAACUCAGGAACACGCUGAACACGUGAAGACCAGGAACUAAGAGCCUUGAAAAGCUCAGAGCCAGAGGGAGGUCAGGCGGAACCACUUCCAAGAGAAGUCAGCGAAUCCCGGAGACUGGCGAGAGGUGGGUUCGGGUCUGCCUCCUACAGGUAAGGAGGGCAGGAGACAGCUGCCAUCGUAGGCUCACGGACGCCCUUCCAGAAGAACCUUGACACCCAGCGGGAGAGGCAGAGGGAAGGUGUGGAGGGAAGCACCGUGUGUGCACAGAUGUCAAGCCCUUCGCCGUCCCUCCGUCUAAAUCGCGCUUCUCUGCUGGGCUGUGCGACGCGGGGCUGGGAUUUGCAACCACAUUAUGCGUUGCCAGCUGCUCCCUGCUGGAGCCCGUUGACAGGGCCCCGGAGGGAGACUGCAGGCCAGCGAGACGCAGGGACACCUCCUCCUGGCCUGCUUCUUUCCCUGACAGCGCCAUCCAGCACGUGACUUCACCUCCAGCUCAUCCUGUCCCAGGAGCCUUGGCGGAGGCUGGUUUUCAGAGUUUUCCGUACACGCAGGACUGGCUCACAUGUCCCCUCCAAGGUCACGGCGGCAGCUGAGCCAUCUGACCUCAGCUCUGUGGGCCCCUCCAGGCUCCUGGGUUCCAGUCAUUCUGAUCUCUUCUCUGUCCUGCAGCCCUGGGGGCUGGGUCCCCUCGCCUGCGGUCUCCACCACCGUGAACUUCAGCUAACGCACGUGAGAACAGCGCCAGCACCCGCUCCACUUCAUCUCUCUGGCCCAAUGCUGGCCCUCCUGAAGGCCUGUGUGGAAGGGGUGGUUAACCCCACGGGGCCCACCCGUGCCGUCAGCUCCGUGCCCUGCUCUCCACAGGUGCCUGCACCUCACUCUUGGGGGGAGUCGGCUCCAUGGAGCCGGAAGCAGCAAGGUGGAUAAAUUAUUUCUCCAGAUAAUAAAAGCAUCAGCAUUAACACAAACCUACCCACACACCCUCCCUUUGUCUCUAAGGCGCCUCCUCCUGUGGCCCACACUCAGUACCCCCGUGACCUCGGCCCUGACCUCGGGCUUGUCCUCAGAGGCCACUCGCCAGUGCUCAUGGUGCCCGGGCGGUCCACACUAGCAGGACCGUCCUACACCGACUUCACAACGGGUAGUGGGACAGGACUCUGUCCCACCAAGUGAGACCCGAAAGCAAAGGGAAGCAUGAGGGCCGGACCCCAGAGAGACGAGAACCACCUGGGGGUGGACUGCGGCUGGUUCAACUUUCAUGAAGUAACUCACGUACCUAAACAUUCCCUGGAGGCUGACAGCAAAGAGCUGUCGUCCCCGUCCUCGGAGUGAGACAGACGAGCCGGCGGGAGGCAGGGGACGAGGACCUGGGCCACGAAGGACUGACACCACCCAGAAGGCUGAGCGGCUCUCACCCAGGAGGAGGUGUGACGAGUGCUGCUCCAAGGGGACUCCGUCGUGACGUCAGAGGGAGAGGACCACGGCCACUCCGGCGUCCUCCCAGGCGAGGCUGUGUGCCGCAGUUCGUCUCUGGAUCUGGAGUUUCCAGGCUGCCAUGGAAACCCUUCUAUUUUUAAAUCUUCUGUUGCAUACUACAGACAUAAACAAAUGCUCAGAGUGGGAGGAAGAGGAAACAGCGCUGCCCGAGUGUCAGGGUGGAAGAUGCCACGAAGCAAACAAGGAAGGCAAAGCCACUGGAAGACAUUCUCUGUGCAGCCAAGGCUCCAAGAGGAGCGCAGCAGCACAGGAGGGCAAGGGGACACGGCGACAUGGAAAGGCUCCAACAGCCUGCGGAGGAUGCCGUCUGGGCAAGGCCACGUGGACCAGCACCGGGUUGCCGGCCCCUGCUCUCGUGCGGUCUUCCUUCUAACUGGAAGGCAAGACACGCUCGCUCUCCAUAAAAAGACCACCUCCAGGAGAAGAGCAACACGACAGAAAGCGCCGGGAGUUCAGAGAAGGAGCUGCUGCGUGAGAAGUCCUGCUGAGGACAGAGACCGUCCUGGAAGACUGGGAGGACCAGGAUAAGCCAAGACAAGGGGGAGGUGCCGGCGUCGGCCCCACUGGCACAGAAGGAUAAUCAGGAAAAGCACCGUCCCCUCCACGUAAACAGGUGGCUGUGUCUCCCUUUGUCACAACAUUAUUCCAGUCUGAGCUCUCUCCCAUCAGCGGACUCCUCACCCUAGGGGACUUGGUGUGGGCGCAAACCCCUCGGCCUCGCACCCCGCUACUCACCCUUCCUUGGGAACCCAGAGCCAGCUUCUGGGGGGGACCCGGCCCCAUUCCUCUUCCUGCAGAACCUCUGGGGGAUUCUCACCAGCCCCAUCUCCCCACAGAGAACCUUCUCCGGCCAGACAACCUCCCACCUCACCCCUCAGAGGGAGGCCACCCCGCCAGGCUAGCGACCACAGCCCUGAGGCUGCUGCCGGGUGCGCCCUGCUGAGGGGGACCCAGAGCCUGGCGACCAGAACAGAGACCUCCUUGCCCCCCAGACUGGCCAACUUCAUCCCCUCUCUAGCGUUGGUACCCACUCCCAUAUGACAAAACCCUGGGAACAUGGCCAGCUCUUCUCCACAGAGGCAGGCUGGGAGUGCACAUGGCCACCCCCGUGCAGCCUGGGCUGACCUGUAAGGCACCCCCACGACCCCACUAACUCGUCCUGCUUUGCUUCUUGAGUGGUUCCCUCAGCAAAAAGAAUGUCUGCUCACACCCCUCCAAACGCUCACGCCUGCAGGGGGCUCCUGGCCCUGGUUCUUCAUGAACCUCUUACUGUCCUCAGUCACAGCCUCGGCGUGUUUAGGGCCCUGCCUCUGGGGCACCACGGUGGCAGUCCUCAUCCUGGGAACCUCCGAUUCCCAUAUGGGCUGUGGCCAAUCCAGACGGCACAUUUCUGCAAAGUACAAAAAGCCCCCCUUUCUCCUGGGCUCAUGCGCCCCACAACCCUCCCCAGGGCUUGGCAAGGUUCUCCAACUGGACCCCCGGCCGAGGCCGUGCAGUGGCCCCCACAGCGGGUCUGGGGUCCUGACUCCCACACUCCCCUGGGCCUCCUGCAAGGGGCCCAUGAAUCUAUUUGGUGUACGUCCUCCUUACUUAGGAAAUGCAGACUGUACUACCAGGCUGUGUUGGUCCUCGGCAAUGCUUUGGGGGAGACAGCUGCCUUUCUCUGCAGAAACAACCCCAUGAGAGCCUGGACACUCCGAACAACGCAGAACCUGCCUCAGUUGGCGUCCCUGGGGUCAGUUCCCAGUAGGAACUCUGCCUCACCCUGAAGACGCCUGGGGAUACAGGGACGCUGCCUUGUGAUGUGAGGAAGUGAUCUAGCAGGAGAGAGAUGAAAAGCAGUCUGCAAACAGCAAAGAGCUGUGGGGUCCACGUGGUCUGACGUCUGUCCAAUACUGUGCAGAAGGCCCUGGGCCUUGGCCAUAAGUCUUCACAGCAAGAGUGCUCAACCCUGGACCAGAGAUCACGGGAAAUUCUCGUGAGGCGGACACCGCCGUGGUUCUCCUCUGUCGGUCACAGUCCCUCUGAAACAAGAGGGCAGACCAGACCCAUGCAUCACAAGCUACUUAUCAUUGUAUUUGCAAUCAACGUGGCCUGAUACUUCUGCAAGAGCAAUCAAAGGGAAUUAUUUUUAAAUGACCGUGCACUUGACCAUCACAGCUGUGUCACAGCGUAUAGAGGCUUCUCAGUGCUCACGCUCAGUUCCCCUCCUCGUCCCACCUGCGAAUGGGCAUGGAUACCCCAAGCACACUGAGUAGCACAGGGUGACCUGUUCAGGGACCUUCACCCCGCCAGGCCCUAUUAUCACAGUCUGUGUACAUGAAGUUUACAUAGUUUUCAGGGCUGUAAUUUAGACUUUUAUUUGAGUCUUUUGAAUUUUUCCAAAUCUAGUGACUUUUUCCAUUUGCAGGAAUACAUUCAGUUGGUUUGAAUUAUCGUUUGCUUUGACUCAGGGAGAGAAGUUGGAAGUGUCAUGGGUGUGGGCCUGCGUGUCCUGCCCCCUGCCAGCACCCCCGCCAUGGAGGUCUUCUCAGGAGCACAGAGCCCCGCUCGUCAGUAUUGAUCAGUUCUGCAGUCUCUGGUCAGCUCAGAAUACCAGGAGCCUGUUUGUCCCUGAGGCAGCCUCCAAAGAUGGGCUGCCACACUGGGAGCAACCUGGGGACUCCCCAGGAGGAGGCCACAAAACGUCUGGAGUCAUGGGAGCUUCCUGGGCACAAUUACCCCUGCCUGCACUCCAGGAACUCUUAAAACUACGUAAGCUUCAUAUGCCUGCAGGACUGCUGACCCUUCUGGCUUUCCAAUCAUUCUACUUUCAUUUGUAUCAGCUGGAAAGUGGGUCCCAUUAAAUAAAAACCAGAGCAGCUGCGGCUCGGCCCCCACCCAAGCACCAGACUCAGCAGAGGUGCCAGAGGUUGCUAGUGCCGGCCCACCUCGUAGACACUGACAAGGGAGAGUGGAGCAAUAGCGGCGGUAGACACACACGUCCCCCUCUGGACUGCCCACACUGCCCUGAUGCUUUAUGUAAAUCGCCACCUUCAACCCAUCCAAAGCCCCCACGGCCUGCCCGCCGUUUUCAUCUCCCUCGUCCACUGUAUCCGGGUAAAACAGCGUCUUCUCUGAGGACAGGGCUGGGUCUCCUCCUG